UUUCAGGGUGCCGAGCCAGAGCGGCUGGUCGGCGCGCCGGUCCUUGCCGUAGGUGGCCAGCAGCGCCUGUGCCUC
RNAcentral lists this antisense RNA (75 nucleotides) under Actinoalloteichus sp. GBA129-24. RNAcentral describes it as "ASpks TB sRNA". It matches the Rfam family "ASpks TB sRNA". RNAcentral also lists the same sequence under 1 other name. The record is from RNAcentral. Lineage: Bacteria; Bacillati; Actinomycetota; Actinomycetes; Pseudonocardiales; Pseudonocardiaceae.